This 582-nucleotide ribosomal RNA is filed under the name Triticum aestivum (bread wheat). RNAcentral's name for it is "partial small subunit ribosomal RNA". The record is from RNAcentral. Lineage: Eukaryota; Viridiplantae; Streptophyta; Magnoliopsida; Poales; Poaceae.
AUGGUCGAAGGCUCGGAGGCGGACAUCUACAACCUCAAGUUCCUCCUCCUCUGCUUCCAACAAAUGUCUGGCCUUAAGAUAAACUUUGACAAGAGUGAUGUUAUGGUGAUGGGCUACUCUCCCGCGGAGUGUCUGGCCAUUGCCAACCGGCUUAACUGCCGCAUGGGCUCCUUUCCCACGACCUACUUGGGUACGCCCAUUAGUGACACCCGGCUCACCGUCGCGGACUUGUGCCCGACCAUGGCCAAGCUCCAAACGCGCAUCGAACCAUGGCAGGGGAGGUGGUUAUCUAAGGCAGCCCGGACAAUUCUCCUCAACUCUUUCCUCUCCGGCCUCCUCUUGUUUCUUAUGAGCUUCUACAGCCUCCACGAGACUCUGCACCAUGAGAUUGCCAAAGUCCAGUCUCGUUUCUACUGGGCUGGCGACAACGAUAAGCAGAAUUAUCAUAUGGUCAGUUGGCCAGACAUUUGCAAGCCCGGGGAGCAAGGCGGCCUUGGCAUUAUGUGCUCUAAGCGGAUGAAUAUCGCCCUCCUCUCCCGCUGGCUUUGGCGCAUCUCGCAAGGUCACGGUGGCCUCUGGCUC